UCUCCUAGGGUUGGGGGGUGGGAGUUCACAUCUCCCACCCUUCAUCCUUGGAAAUAAUGUAGAAAGUAAUUCUUUUAAAAUGGACAUGAAAGUGAAAGUGAAGUCCGACUGCGACCCUGUGGGCUGUAGCCCACCAGACUUUUCAGUCCAUGGGAUUCUCCAGGUUUGGCCCAUGGAAGCUGACGCUUUCCACUGAAGCUCUGUGUGGAAUUUGUAUGAGGAACGAAUUCACCACUAGAGGGUGUGCAUGUACCACUUACAUUUCAAGAUGGUCCUGGUAAGAAAAAGUUGAGUAAUUAGGAAAAUAAAUGAGCGUUUUUGGA
Long non-coding RNA from Bubalus bubalis (water buffalo), 323 nucleotides. RefSeq lists it as uncharacterized. Lineage: Eukaryota; Metazoa; Chordata; Mammalia; Artiodactyla; Bovidae. The record is from RefSeq and is a predicted model, not a curated record. The transcript is spliced from 2 exons.